Daucus carota subsp. sativus is the source of this 1197-nucleotide long non-coding RNA. RefSeq lists it as uncharacterized. The record is from RefSeq and is a predicted model, not a curated record. The transcript is spliced from 3 exons. Lineage: Eukaryota; Viridiplantae; Streptophyta; Magnoliopsida; Apiales; Apiaceae.
GAAUGUUAGAUGAUUUUAUAAUCGAUUUACGGAUUUAAUUGCGUAUAUUUAUAUUUAUAUAUUAAUUAUUUGACUUCCGUAAAACCGUCCACUCGUAACGGGGUAGCAAAUUUUCUUCCCGGAAGUUUCAACAAAACUCACCUUUAGCCUAAUUUCAAUAUUCCGGAUAUUUUUCGUGUUUUGACUUUUUCGAUCCGGAGUACGGUUUUCCCCGUAGUCGGUCCGGCGGAGUUUUUCGGGUAUUUUAAUUGUUGAUAAUUAUCUGGUUGUCUCGAUAAACGUGAAACUAGAUAUUUUGAUUCAUCCUUAUCUUGUAAUAAUUGCAGUGGGACCCGCAUACUAAUGACUGAUUAAAAAGCCCCGUUUUGAUGAUUAUCUUGAAAACCAGUACCGAUUGGACCCCGUUUUAUUAAUAUAAAGCUAUUAAAUACGUAUUUUCAUGUCAUAAACGAUCCAAAGGGGUACCAAUUAUUUGUAAAUAUAAAUAGACCUUUCUAGAGCUUAUUUUCACCGUAGAAAUCAUUUCACCAGUUUCUUCUCACGAAUACCGAGAGAAACCGAAGUAUGUUCUUCGUGUUCUUCAUAAUCAAACGAAGAUUUGAAGGCGUUAUUGGAAUCCGAUGGAGGUGUAUGAAUAGUCAAAACGAAGCUAUCGACGUGUAGAUUAUAGUUUAAUCAUUCGUUUGUGUGCAGAUUCAACAGGAUUUGGACGAGACGUGUACGCUCGAAGACGUCAGAAAGUCGGAAUGGUAUUGCAAAGCGAAUAAGGGAUGAUUGAGUAAGCGAAGCGAAGUGGCGAAUAGAGUAUAGCUAGAGAUGGUCUAGAGAUUACGAGAUGCAUAGAUUGUGAAAGUGGAGAGAUGAGAUAGAGAUGUGAGACUGGAGUCAGAUUUAAGAAAGGCUUAAAGAUGAGAUGAUUGAUUGAGAUUGUGAGUAAGGCUAAUGCUAGGCGAGGAGACAGAGUUGAGGAUCCAGUGGUCGAGGAGUGUUCAGGAAAGUUGAUGAGGUUGGUGCAAGCUGGAAUAGUUGACAGUGAUUCUUCUUAUCGAAGAUGAUCUGAUUUGGUAAGAGAUGUUGUGUAAUAAUAGUGGUAGAUUCUAAUUUCAAUACUGUAACCUGGAUGCGAUCCUGUUGCUUUUAGGGGGUUUAAAUGUUCUCUUUCGAAUCAUUUAUUAAAGUUUAAAUGUUCUCUUGAAA